GAUGAAGAACGUAGUGAAAUGCGAUAAGUAGUGUGAAUUGCAGAAUUCAGUGAAUCAUCGAAUCUUUGAACGCACAUGGCGCCUUCCAGUAUCCUGGGAGGCAUGCCUGUCCGAGCGUCGUUUCAACCCUCGAGCCCCCGUGGCCCGGCGUUGGGGAUCUGCCCAGGCAGUCCCCGAAAACCAGUGGCGGACCCGUUACAGGCCCUUCCCUUGCGUAGUAGCAUUCGCCUCGCAUCGGGAGCCGGCGGGCUUCCAGCCUCUAAACCCCCAUCAAGUCCGCCCCGGCGGCACCAAGGUUGACCUCGGAUCAGGUAGGAAUACCCGCUGAACUUAAGCAUAUCAAUAAGCGGAGGA
This 354-nucleotide unclassified non-coding RNA is filed under the name soil metagenome. Its description in RNAcentral is "partial contains 5.8S ribosomal RNA, internal transcribed spacer 2, and large subunit ribosomal RNA". The stretch from base 1 to 120 matches the Rfam family "5.8S ribosomal RNA", at positions 35 to 154 of the family's 154-position model. The record is from RNAcentral.